GACGAACGCUGGCGGCGUGCUUAACACAUGCGAGUCGAACGGAAAGGCCCUGCUUUUGUGGGGUGCUCGAGUGGCGAACGGGUGAGUAACACGUGAGUAACCUGCCCUUGACUUUGGGAUAACUUCAGGAAACUGGGGCUAAUACCGGAUAGGAGCUCCUGCUGCAUGGUGGGGGUUGGAAAGUUUCGGCGGUUGGGGAUGGACUCGCGGCUUAUCAGCUUGUUGGUGGGGUAGUGGCUUACCAAGGCUUUGACGGGUAGCCGGCCUGAGAGGGUGACCGGCAACAUUGGGACUGAGGUAGGGCUCAGACUCCUACGGGAGGCAGCAGUGGGGAAUAUUGCACAAUGAGCGGAAGCCGGAUGCAGCAACGCCGCGUGCGGGAUGACGGCAUUCGGGUUGUGAACCGCUUUCGCCUGUGACGAAGCGUGAGUGACGGUAAUGGGUAAAGAAGCACCGGCUAACUACGUG
RNAcentral lists this ribosomal RNA (468 nucleotides) under uncultured bacterium. Its description in RNAcentral is "partial 16S ribosomal RNA". It matches the Rfam family "Bacterial small subunit ribosomal RNA", at positions 28 to 507 of the family's 1533-position model. The record is from RNAcentral.